GGGGUUGGCCUAUUCAAUGGCUUCUAGGGAAAAAUAAUGAGGGGUGUCACGGGGUAUGACUAUAUAGGUCUUGUAGAAGAAAAACAGGCGCAUCUUUUGCGCAAGGUAUCGAAGGGCGCUAUGUUCAAAAAUCUGAAACUAGAGCUCAAAAUUUGAAAAAAAAUGUUAAAAACAGGGGGGUUGGCCUAUACAAUGGCUUCUACAGAAAAAUAAUGAAGGGUGUCACGGGGUAUGACAAUAUAGGUCUUGUAGAAGAGAAACAGGCGCAUCUCUUGCGCAAGGUUUCGAAGGGCGCUAUGUUCAAAAAUCUGAAACUAGAGCUCAAAAUUUGAAAAAAAAUGUUAAAAACAGGGGGGUUGGCCUAUUCCAUGGCUUCUACAGAAAAAUAAUGAAGGGUGUCACGGGGUAUGACAAUAUAGGUCUUGUAGAAGAGAAACAGGCGCAUUUUUUGCGCAAGGUAUCGAAGGGCGCUAUGUUCAAAAAUCUGAAACUACAGCUCAAAAUUUGAAAAAAAAAAUUGUUAAAAACAGGGGGUUGGCCUAUUCAAUGGCUUCUAGGGAAAAAUAAUGAGGGGUGUCACGGAGUAUGACUAUAUAGGUCUUGUAGAAGAGAAACAGGCGCAUCUUUUGCGCAAGGUAUCGAAGGGCGCUAUGUUCAAAAAUCUGAAACUAGAGCUCAAAAUUUGAAAAAAAAUUGUUAAAAACAGGGGGGUUGGCCUAUUCCAUGGCUUCUACAGAAAAAUAAUGAGGGGUGUCACGGGGUAUGACAAUAUAGGUCUUGUAGAAGAGAAACAGGCGCAUCUCUUGCGCAAGGUUUCGAAGGGCGCUAUGUUCAAAAAUCUGAAACUAGAGCUCAAAAUUUGAAAAAAAAUGUUAAAAACAGGGGGGUUGGCCUAUUCCAUGGCUUCUACAGAAAAAUAAUGAAGGGUGUCACGGGGUAUGACAAUAUAGGUCUUGUAGAAGAGAAACAGGCGCAUCUCUUGCGCAAGGUUUUGAAGGGCGCUAUGUUCAAAAAUCUGAAACUAGAGCUCAAAAUUUGAAAAAAAUUGUUAAAAACAGGGGGGUUGGCCUAUACCAUGGCUUCUAGAGAAAAAUAAUGAGGGGUGUCACGGGGUAUGACUAUAUAGGUCUUGUAGAUGAGAAACAGGCGCAUCUUUUGCGCAAGGUAUCGAAGGGUGCUAUGUUCAAAAAUCUGAAACUAGAGCACAAAAUUUGAAAAAAAAUUGUUAAAAACAGGGGGGUUGGUCUAUUCUAUGGCUUCUACAGGAUAAUGAGGGGUGUCACGCGGUAUGACUAUAAAGGUCUUGUAGAGGAGAAACAGGCGCAUCUUUUGCACAAGGUAUCGAAGGGCGCUAUGUUCAAAAAUCUGAAACUAGAGCUCAAAAUUUGAAAAAAAUAGUUAAAAACAGGAGGAAUGGCCUAUUCCAUGGCUUCUAGAGAAAAAUAAUGAGGGGUGUCACGGGAUAUGACUAUAUAGGUCUUGUAGAAGAGAAACAGGCGCAUCUUUUGCGCAAGGUAACGAAGGGCGCUAUGUUCAAAAAUCUGAAACUAGAGCUCAAAAUUGGAAAAAAAAAAAUUAAAAACAGGGGGUUGGUCUAUUCCAUGGCUUCUAGAGAAAAAUAAUGAGGGGUGUCACGGGAUAUGACUAUAUAGGUCUUGUAGAAGAGAAACAGGCGCAUCUUUUGCGCAAGGUAACGAAGGGCGCUAUGUUCAAAAAUCUGAAACUAGAGCUCAAAAUUGGAAAAAAAAAAAAUUAAA
Mytilus californianus (California mussel) is the source of this 1757-nucleotide long non-coding RNA. RefSeq lists it as uncharacterized. The record is from RefSeq and is a predicted model, not a curated record. NCBI's taxonomy places the organism in Eukaryota, Metazoa, Mollusca, Bivalvia, Mytilida, Mytilidae. The transcript is spliced from 4 exons.